AAGUACCUCAGUAUCAAUUUAAUAAUAACCUGUAGAAAAAGGGGAAGAAAAGUUCUCGUUUUAUUUUUCGUAGGCCCCCAAUAUCUCGUAGGCCCUAGGCACUGUGCCUAAUGGAUGACCCGUCCCAUCCUGAGUGAAACCCAACUAUCCCAUACCCCCACAAUAUUAUCUUACUAAUGAAUUAUGAAGUCUUAAAUAUGUAAAAUAAACUCUAGGGUCAUGAUUAAGAUAUCACAAUAAAUCAGAUAUAGGACGAUAUUAUUUUGGUUAGCUCAGAAUAAUUAGACAUAACUAAAUUAUUUGGCAAAAACUAAAUAAAGGUGCCAGUCAUUCUGAGACAGCUUGUAUCUCUCUAGGGUAGUUAUCACCUCACCGACUCAUCAUUAGUCUGCAUAUUUCAGGCGGCUGAACAGGAUGGGCGGGGAACUGCGUUUUGAUGGCAAGGUUGCAAUAAUAACAGGCGCUGGUGGCGGCCUGGGUCGUUCCUAUGCCUUAUUGUUUGGAUCCCGUGGUGCAAAGGUGGUUGUAAAUGACCUAGGAGGGGACGCAAAGGGGGAAGGAAAGAGUUCCUCUGCUGCAGACAAGGUAGUGGAUGAGAUCCGUAGUGCAGGGGGAACAGCUGUUGCCAACUAUGACUCUGUGGAGAAUGGAGCAAAUAUUGUCCAAACAGCACUUGAUAAUUUUGGUCGUGUGGAUAUACUGGUGAAUAAUGCUGGCAUCCUAAGAGACAGAUCCUUUGCUCGUACAUCUGACACAGACUGGGACUUGGUUUAUCGUGUACACUUACGAGGGGCAUUCAUGGUCACGCGGGCAGCUUUUCCGGUUAUGAGGCAACAAAAAUAUGGCCGCAUCAUCAUGACUGCCUCAACAUCUGGAAUUUAUGGCAACUUUGGCCAGGCUAAUUACAGUGCUGCCAAACUAGGAUUGCUUGGGCUCAGCAACACUGUUGCCAUUGAAGGUUACAAAUACAAUAUUCACUGUAAUACCAUUGCUCCUGUGGGUGGCACACGCCUGACGGAGGGCCUCCUACCCCCAGAAGUGUUUGAGGCUCUUAAACCAGAGUUAGUGGCUCCACUGGUAGCAUGGCUCUCUCACGAAGACUGUGAAGAUAAUGGUGGGCUUUAUGGGGCUGGUGGUGGAUGGUAUGGAAAGUAUCGCUGGGAACAUACAAAGGGAUCUGUGUGCCAAAGCUCACACGGGGACAUUGUCUCCCCAGAGCAAGUGCGUGACAAUUGGGAGAAGAUAAUUGAUUUUACAGGGUCUGUUCAUCCAGCAUCCAGCCAAGAGAAUUCUGCACUAUUAAUUGGGGCUUUACAAGAAAUAAGUGAGAAGUCGGAGGUCAAGGCCAACCCCACAUCAUCCCCAUCUGCUUCACUUACUGGACCUCUCUCUGCUGUUGGAGUAACAUUGGGGCCAACAAGUUACACAUAUGACCACAAACAUUUGAUCCUGUAUGCUCUUGGAUCUGGUGUCUCCACAAAAGAUGAGAAUAGUCUUCAGUUUUUAUACGAGAACAGUGAGAACUUUUCUCCUCACCCAACUUUUGGUGUUGUGGUAUCACAGUCAUCUUUAAUGAGUGGAGGAGGCAUUUGGAGUAAAAUUCAGAAUUGGUCAGUUGACUUUACAAAGUUGCUUCAUGGAGAAAUGUACAUAGAAAACAUUAAACCACUACCAACCAAUGCUACACUGAGCACAGAAAUGAAGGUGGUGGAUGUUUUAGACAAGGGUUCUGGAGCUGUUCUCAUUGCCGAGUCAUUGACAAAGGAUGAGAGUGGUGAUCCUGUUUCUCGAACACAAUGGUCACUCUUUUUGGUUGGUGAGGGAAAUUUUGGUGGUCCAAGGAAGAGCACCAAAAGUGUACCUCUACUUGAUCCUCCUAAGCGAAAACCUGAUGUUACUGACGAGUUUAAGACAAAUAUUGAUCAGGCAGCACUUUAUCGUCUUAAUGGUGACAACAAUCCUCUCCACAUAGAUCCGCUCUUUGCUGCCAUGGGUGGCUUCAGUCAGCCAAUCCUACAUGGUCUUUGUUUCUAUGGCAUUUCUGCUCGAAUCAUCUUGAAACAUUUUUGUAAUGACGAUGUCAAGUUGUUUAAGGCUAUGAAGGCCCGUUUUGCCAAAACAGUGAUCCCUGGUCAGACACUUGUGGUUGACAUGUGGAAAGAAGGGUCACGGAUCUUCUUUACUUGCACUAUCAAGGAGACGAACCAAGCUUGUCUCACAGGUGGAUUUGUGGAUAUUGUGGAAACAGCUUCAGUGAAUACUUCUGCUUCCACCUCUAUGCAGUUAGCUAGUGGCAGUGUGUUCCAUGAAAUUUCUCAGAGAGUGGCAAGUACUCCUGGAGCUGCUGAGAAGGUGAAGGCUAUUUUCUUAUGGAAUAUCAACAAAAACAAGACACCAGCAGCACAGUGGACUCUUGACUUGAAGAAUGGCCCUGGAUCGGUGUAUGAAGGAACACCCAUAAAUGGAGAGAAACCAAGUGUAACGCUGACUCUAGAAGAUGAUGACAUGGUUGCUCUAGUGACUGGCAAAUUGAAUGCACAGAAGGCCUUUAUGUCAGGGAAAUUAAAAGUGUCAGGAAAUGUGAUGCUCACUCAGAAGUUGCAACCUUUUCUUAAGCCUCAGGCCAAAAUGUGAAGCUAUGGCAGUGCUUAAUUGAGGACAGGAACCGGUGAAGGAGACUUACAAGAGUAGUGGUCUGAAUGAGUGGAGCAUUGACUAUAAUGCUUUUGAGAAAUAAUUUACAUCUUUUAUCAUCAAGAAUACAGACAAGACAUGGCUUCUGCUCAAAUCCACUGCUUCAUUAACAGCAACUAAGACAACUCAUUCAAGGAGCAAUUACCAUUACUGCCAUAUGAUGGUCACUAUUAUGCAAUAUCCAACUGACUGCAUGGUCCCUCUUCACAAACGCAACCGUGGAGGGAGUCCUGGAGGCUGUCUGGAGGACAAUCGAAACUAUGAAUGAAGAGGCCCUGCCCCUACCCGGGGGACUAUAUAAAAUUGGUCUCGCUGUGUGUAAAUUCGGCCCAUUCACCUUCAAAGGAGAAGAAUAUACCAAGCACAGUGAGCUUACAAUGGGGUCUCCAUUGAGUGCAGUAAUGGAGACUCUGGCGACAGACUAUACUGUUAGAACAUCAUGGGUACAAGCUCGACAUGGUUGAGGUGCAAUAAGCUAUCCAGCUUAUUUGAGUUAAAGAUGAUGUUUGGUAACUUGUUCCACUCAUCCACUACUCUAUUUCCAAACCAAUGUUUACCUAUGUCACGCCUAAAUCUAAAUUUGUCUAAUUUAAAACCAUUGU
This is an RNA transcript of Homarus americanus (American lobster), 3296 nucleotides long. It is a transcript of the gene named peroxisomal multifunctional enzyme type 2-like, with no coding region annotated. The transcript is spliced from 18 exons. Lineage: Eukaryota; Metazoa; Arthropoda; Malacostraca; Decapoda; Nephropidae. The record is from RefSeq and is a predicted model, not a curated record.